UACGUAGGGUGCAAGCGUUAAUCGGAAUUACUGGGCGUAAAGCGUGCGCAGGCGGUUUUGUAAGACAGUCGUGAAAUCCCCGGGCUCAACCUGGGAAUUGCGAUUGUGACUGCAAAGCUGGAGUGCGGCAGAGGGGGAUGGAACUCCGAGAGUAGAGGUGAAAUGCGUAGAUAUGCGGAGGAACACCGAUGGCGAAGGCAAUCCCCUGGACCUGUACUGACGCUCAUGCACGAAAGCGUGGGGAGCAAACAGG
RNAcentral lists this ribosomal RNA (253 nucleotides) under uncultured bacterium. RNAcentral describes it as "partial 16S ribosomal RNA". It matches the Rfam family "Bacterial small subunit ribosomal RNA", at positions 524 to 776 of the family's 1533-position model. The record is from RNAcentral.